CAGCCUGUACCCUCCAUGUGCCCGCCCGCUUGUCUCCUACUAUUAACCUCAAGGCAACAGUUAUCUGGAUACCACAAACGGCUUUUCAAAACUACCCAAUGGUGAAAAAUGAGCAUAAUCCUCCAGAAGAGAACGGUUGGGGAAAAUAGUGCUGUUCGUGUCACCCUCGCCAGUUUGGGUUCCUAAAAGGUCUGUCAACUUGUCGGAAUACCUGCUCAAACUUCUUCUGUCC
Long non-coding RNA from Nerophis ophidion (straightnose pipefish), 232 nucleotides. RefSeq lists it as uncharacterized. Lineage: Eukaryota; Metazoa; Chordata; Actinopteri; Syngnathiformes; Syngnathidae. The transcript is spliced from 3 exons. The record is from RefSeq and is a predicted model, not a curated record.